GCGGUGGAGCAUGUGGUUUAAUUCGAAGCAACGCGAAGAACCUUACCAGGUCUUGACAUCCCCUGACAACCCAAGAGAUUGGGCGUUCCCCUUCGGGGGACAGGGUGACAGGUGGUGCAUGGUUGUCGUCAGCUCGCGUCGUGAGAUGUUGGGUUAAGUCCCGCAACGAGCGCAACCCUCGCCUCUAGUUGCCAGCAUUCGGUUGGGCACUCUAGAGGGACUGCCGGCGACAAGUCGGAGGAAGUGGGGAUGACGUCAAAUCAUCAUGCCCCUUAUGACCUGGGCUACACACGUGCUACAAUGGGCGGUACAAAGGGCUGCGAACCCGCGAGGGGGAGCGAAUCCCAAAAAGCCGCUCUCAGUUCGGAUUGCAGGCUGCAACUCGCCUGCAUGAAGCCGGAAUCGCUAGUAAUCGCGGAUCAGCAUGCCGCGGUGAAUACGUUCCCGGGCCUU
Molecule: ribosomal RNA, 453 nt
Filed under: uncultured Geobacillus sp.
Lineage: Bacteria; Bacillati; Bacillota; Bacilli; Caryophanales; Anoxybacillaceae
Description: bacterial SSU rRNA
Rfam family: Bacterial small subunit ribosomal RNA
Source: RNAcentral